RNAcentral lists this long non-coding RNA (1395 nucleotides) under Sus scrofa (pig). Its description in RNAcentral is "lncRNA (ENSSSCG00000042234.2)". Lineage: Eukaryota; Metazoa; Chordata; Mammalia; Artiodactyla; Suidae. The record is from RNAcentral.
GGUUUUCCCGCGACCUUUACCCUGGUGGGGGGGUGUUAGGGGCAGUGGGAAAGCAGCUUCGUGCCGGUAUGGCCGUAUAGGGUUAGGAUCGGAUUCCUCAGCGGCUUGGGAGCAAUUCUAAGCGGCUUCCAGGCCCGCCAGCCGCAGCUGGAGGAGAGAGAAUCCACGCUACGAGACGUGUCACCGUGGACAACCUAGUGGCGCGGACCCGAUCUGGAGGGGGCGCGGAAUUGCAAGUGGAGAAGGACAAUUCGAGCGUUCUCGACUUCGGGUUUCAACCCGUGUCCAGUGGGAAUGCUAGUGCUCUAUCUGUCAGAGGCAAGAAGGCAAAGGCAUUUGUUUGAGGCUCUGCGGCGUGGUAGGCAAAGUGAGCAUGCCCGCACGUCUUCUCCCGACCCGUGCUGAACAGUCUAAGUAGCAAGGAAGAAAUUCCCCUGCAAUGAAGCAGGUUCAGCGUUGAUUGCUGUCCGUCCAGCCCAAGUGAACAAAGCUUCCUCUUCCAGAUGUCUUUGUUUCUCUCCUCCCCAACUCAGCCCAGCCAGAGGAGCAUCCCAUAAGGACUCACCCUCCAGCCUUCUGCUCUUCUCUGUUAUGUAACACGGGGAGGUUGAUUCCUUCAGGCUGCAAAUCCAGACCCCGGGACAUCAGAUUUUGACCCAGAGGGAGUCCUAGCAGGAGACUGGGGGUAAGUGGGCUCAUCCAUCCACCACACCUCUGUGGGCACCGGCUCAGGGCCAGACGCUGCAGGAGGCACGGGGCAAGAAGUGAUCUUGUCUAAGCAGCAGAGGGAAAAGCCUCGGGGUGUGCCUGUCUCUGCCGAGACGUCCCCAAACUCAGCCACACUUAGAGGCCAGUCCCGCCAUCGCCUGGGCCUCCUUCGUCCUCCAGAGGCAACUAAAGGUGAGAUGCAGGACGCCUGGAAUGUCCCUUUCACUGUCCACUGCACGAGUGGGUUGGGGGUGCUUCUGGGUGGUGGCAGAAAUGCCCGGUGGCUCUCGCCUCCUCCCAGCGUUGCUCAGGCUCAGGAGAGCCCAGCUUCCACCACCUGCGUUUUACUCUCUCCCCUUCUCUUCCCCCGAGCCUUUCCUUAGAAGCAGGGAGAAUCUUUUCCAGCAUAUUUCCUUCAGCAAAAUCCAGGGGUGGAUUAUCCAUACAAGCUAAUCACGGGAGUUCCCAUCGUGGCUCAGAGGAAACGAAUCUGACCAGUAUCCAUGAGGACGCAGGUUUGAUCCCUGGCAUUGCUCAGCAGGUUAAGGAUCUGGCAUUGCCAUGAGCUGUGUUGUGGGUCACAUUCGAAGCUUGGAUCUGGCGUUGCUAUGGCUGUGGUGUAGGCCAGCGGCUACAGCUCCGAUUCGACCCCUAGCCUGGGAACCUUCCUAUGCCGCAGGUGCAGCC